GACGAACGCUGGCGGCGUGCCUAAUACAUGCAAGUCGAGCGGACUUUCAAGAAGCUUGCUUUUUGAAAGUUAGCGGCGGACGGGUGAGUAACACGUGGGCAACCUGCCUGCAAGACGGGGAUAACUCCGGGAAACCGGGGCUAAUACCGGAUAAUAUCUUCCUUCGCAUGAAGGAAGGUUGAAAGGCGGCGCAAGCUGCCGCUUGCAGAUGGGCCCGCGGCGCAUUAGCUAGUUGGUGAGGUAACGGCUCACCAAGGCGACGAUGCGUAGCCGACCUGAGAGGGUGAUCGGCCAAACUGGGACGGAGACACGGCCCAGACUCCUACGGGAGGCAGCAGUAGGGAAUCUUCCGCAAUGGACGAAAGUCUGACGGAGCAACGCCGCGGGAGCGAAGAAGGUCUUCGGAUCGUAAAGCUCUGUUGUCAGGGAAGAACAAGUACCGUUCGAACAGGGCGGUACCUUGACGGUACCUGACCAGAAAGCCACGGCUAACUACGUG
RNAcentral lists this ribosomal RNA (499 nucleotides) under uncultured bacterium. Its description in RNAcentral is "partial 16S ribosomal RNA". It matches the Rfam family "Bacterial small subunit ribosomal RNA", at positions 28 to 507 of the family's 1533-position model. The record is from RNAcentral.